GAAUAUUGCACAAUGGACGCAAGCCUGAUGCAGCCAUGCCGCGUGUAUGAAGAAGGCCUUAGGGUUGUAAAGUACUUUCAGCGGGGAGGAAGGUGUUAAGGCUAAUACCCUUAGCAAUUUACGUUACCCGCAGAAGAAGCACCGGCUAACUCCGUGCCAGCAGCCGCGGUAAUACGGAGGGUGCAAGCGUUAAUCGGAAUUACUGGGCGUAAAGCGCACGCAGGCGGUCAAUUAAGUCAGAUGUGAAAGCCCCGAGCUUAACUUGGGAAUUGCAUCUGAAACUGGUUGGCUAGAGUCUUGUAGAGGGGGGUAGAAUUCCACGUGUAGCGGUGAAAUGCGUAGAGAUGUGGAGGAAUACCGGUGGCGAAGGCGGCCCCCUGGAUCGAUACUGACGCUGAGGUGCGAAAGCGUGGGGAGCAAACAG
Molecule: ribosomal RNA, 424 nt
Filed under: uncultured bacterium
Lineage: Bacteria
Description: bacterial SSU rRNA
Rfam family: Bacterial small subunit ribosomal RNA
Source: RNAcentral